GAUGAACGCUGGCGGCGUGCUUAACACAUGCAAGUCGAACGGAAAGGCCAGUGCUUGCACUGGUACUCGAGUGGCGAACGGGUGAGUAACACGUGGGUGAUCUGCUCUGUACUUCGGGAUAAGCUUGGGAAACUGGGUCUAAUACCGGAUAGGACAACUUUUUGGAUAUUGUUGUGGAAAGCUUUUGCGGUAUGGGAUGAGCUCGCGGCCUAUCAGCUUGUUGGUGGGGUAAUGGCCUACCAAGGCGUCGACGGGUAGCCGGCCUGAGAGGGUGUACGGCCACAUUGGGACUGAGAUACGGCCCAGACUCCUACGGGAGGCAGCAGUGGGGAAUAUUGCACAAUGGGCGCAAGCCUGAUGCAGCGACGCCGCGUGGGGGAUGAAGGCCUUCGGGUUGUAAACUCCUUUCGCUAGGGACGAAGCGUAAGUGACGGUACCUGGAGAAGAAGCACCGGCUAACUACGUG
RNAcentral lists this ribosomal RNA (466 nucleotides) under uncultured bacterium. RNAcentral's name for it is "partial 16S ribosomal RNA". It matches the Rfam family "Bacterial small subunit ribosomal RNA", at positions 28 to 507 of the family's 1533-position model. The record is from RNAcentral.